GUCAACCUGUGCACCAGGAGGUUGCUGGUUCAAUUCCAGAACUUGUCCUGCUCAUCCAGCUAUUUGAAACCUUCCAACACAUGGGCACCAUUCAGUUU
This is a long non-coding RNA of Myotis davidii, 98 nucleotides long. RefSeq lists it as uncharacterized. The transcript has 2 exons. NCBI's taxonomy places the organism in Eukaryota, Metazoa, Chordata, Mammalia, Chiroptera, Vespertilionidae. The record is from RefSeq and is a predicted model, not a curated record.